Molecule: ribosomal RNA, 253 nt
Filed under: uncultured bacterium
Lineage: Bacteria
Description: partial 16S ribosomal RNA
Rfam family: Bacterial small subunit ribosomal RNA
Source: RNAcentral
UACGUAGGAUGCAAGCGUUGUCCGGAAUUAUUGGGCGUAAAGAGCGCGCAGGCGGUUUUACAAGUCAGAUGUGAAAGAGGCCGGCUUAACCGGCAAGGGUCAUUUGAAACUGUGAGACUAGAGUACAGCAGAGGAUAGCGGAAUUCCCGGUGUAGUGGUGAAAUGCGUAGAUAUCGGGAGGAACACCAGUGGCGAAGGCGGCUAUCUGGGCUGAAACUGACGCUGAGGUGCGAAGGCUAGGGUAGCAAACAGG